Neodiprion virginianus is the source of this 1905-nucleotide long non-coding RNA. RefSeq lists it as uncharacterized. NCBI's taxonomy places the organism in Eukaryota, Metazoa, Arthropoda, Insecta, Hymenoptera, Diprionidae. The record is from RefSeq and is a predicted model, not a curated record. The transcript is spliced from 6 exons.
CUGCGAGGCUGUCUUCACAUUUGGAAUCAACGAUGCUGCCUCCUUCAAAAUUUCUUCCUGGGUAUCGAAAUGAAUUGCAACAACGUUGAUACGCGUUAUGGAUUAUCUGGAUUCAAAGAGCCUGCCAAUAAAUUUUGAAAACAUUGUGCGGUAUCUGAACAGAUGAAUUCAAUGUAGAAGAAUAACAGGUCGAGAGCAAAAACGCCAAGCCUGCACUCUACCACCACACCGUUGACUAUUGAUAGACGCAAGCAGACGACUCAGUCUAUUCCGUUAGACAAGGUCAUGGAGGAAGAACUCAAACAGUUACGAUUGGAGAAGGAGAAAUUGGAACAACUGAAAGAUGAUCUUAAAAAACAGCAGGAGGAUCUCCAUUCUCGUAGUGAGUUGGCAAAACAAGUCAGCUUGUUGCAAAAAGAAAAAGAAAGUCAAGCGCGAGUUUUAAAUGAGCUACGCAGAGGUUCAUCAAGUCAACAGAAACAGACUACAUUGCAGCGCUAUUGACCGCAUCUAGCAAUGAUGGGGGUGAAAUCACCAGAUCAAUCAAUCUCUAAGAACAGAGUAGAAACCAAAUCAAUCACUACGCCGAGUAAAAGUGAGUGUGUAAAAAGUGCGUCGCUUCACCGUUCAACCUGAUCGUGAGAUGCUAGGAGAGCUACUACGUGGAAAGUGUGGAGCAUCCCGGAGGAGAGCUAAGCAGAGACAUCCGAGUAACUUCUCCAUUACUUGGCGACGCUGGUGAGUUUGCAUGAGUUAGGUUACGGGUGUAUUUCCCUGGGACUUCUCUGUCAUGUGGCGUGGCGGUAACAAUUGUUACACGAAUCUUUGAUUUUUUAGCUCUAGAGAUAGACUCAUUCGCAAUCGCAACGAUGCUUGACUUUCAAUCGAGUCAUUUUUUGCCAUUAAUUUUCCCAUAGCUUAGAUGAAGUUAGAUAUUUUGCACGUUGCCAAAAGUGGAAUGAGGAUCGCGACAGGUAACCAUCGCUUACUCGGCAUUCGCGAGAACGAAUUGCGUUUAACUAUAACUGAUAUAAUGAUCUACGUUGAGAUUUAUCAAUGACGUCGCUUAAGGGAUGGAUUUACCUGAGGUUUUUUAAUCAUUUUCACAUGAUUGUUCAAUAGAUGAAAUUUCGAAGUCUGGCAAAGCGUAACGUAAUCAAACUGCAUGUCACAUCUUGAAUCAUUUCCAAUUUUUCAAAGGCCAGCAAGUAUCAAUCAACUGCAGGUUUAGCUCGCUUAGAGAAAUGCCGAUUAGCGUACAGGAUGUUCAUAAUUCAUUUUACAAAAGGUUGAUGUACCGGUAGUCCGCCGGCAAUCGGUAAAAUAAUACCUACGUUAGAAUACCAGGGUUUCUCCGAAGGCCGGCAGACUAAGGUACAAAAACAUUUUGCUCCCCACAGGUAAACUACGCAAAAGUAAGUCAGAGUGACCACGGCGCAAAUGAGGAAGAAUGAUGUGUGUUGGAAAGAAUGGGGAAUCGCUUAGAUCGAAUAUAGGUAACCGGGUAGGUAGAGGUGGUCGUUUUGGGACUCGCCGCGGUGUUUACGCAUGUGUGUGCGAGUGUCUCUCUUCGCAACAUUUCCGUUGGGUGGUUUCGUUGGGAUUAAGGCGAGGGUAGGAAGGUCGCGACGUAUCGCGGUGUUACUAACUUUUGCAAUCCACAGCGUCAAACGAUCACAGUGGUUUUCCUUUCAAAACACACGAACGACUCGGUAUAAGAGUUUCCGGACCAUCUGUAAGCUUUCAAAUUUCAACGAGGCUCAAUUUCGCAUGCUUUUGCCACUGAAACGAUUUCUCAGUCGUUAUCUAGUUCAAUUAUUCAGUCGUCAUUCGUCAUUAUUUUAUUCAAUCGAUCUCUGUGAUCGUCUGAAUGGGCGAAACGCAUCUUUGGACCAUCUUUCGCGU